CGGCCGCGUCGACGGGACCAUGCACUGGGGGGAUGGGCCCGCGGCGUAUUAGCUAGUUGGAGAGGUAAUGGCUCCCCAAGGCGACGAUACGUAGCCGACCUGAGAGGGUGAUCGGCCACACUGGGACUGAGACACGGCCCAGACUCCUACGGGAGGCAGCAGUAGGGAAUCAUCCGCAAUGGACGAAAGUCUGACGGUGCAACGCCGCGUGAGUGAUGAAGGUUUUCGGAUCGUAAAGCUCUGUUGUGAGGGAAGAACAAGGGCGGUUCUAACAGGGCCGCCCCCUGACGGUACCUCACCAGAAAGCCCCGGCUAACUACGUGCCAGCAGCCGCGGUAAUACGUAGGGGGCAAGCGUUGUCCGGAAUUAUUGGGCGUAAAGCGCGCGCAGGCGGUUCUUUAAGUCUGAUGUGAAAGCCCACGGCUCAACCGUGGAGGGUCAUUGGAAACUGGAGACUGGAAUGCAGAAGAGGAGAGUGGAAUUCCACGUGUAGCGGUGAAAUGCGUAGAUAUGUGGGUCGACGCGGCGCGAUU
This 533-nucleotide ribosomal RNA is filed under the name uncultured bacterium. RNAcentral's name for it is "bacterial SSU rRNA". It matches the Rfam family "Bacterial small subunit ribosomal RNA", at positions 186 to 720 of the family's 1533-position model. The record is from RNAcentral.